UACGUAGGGGGCGAGCGUUGUCCGGAUUUAUUGGGCGUAAAGAGCUCGUAGGCGGUUUGGUAAGUUGGAUGUGAAAUCUCCAGGCUCAACUUGGAGGGGUCAUUCGAUACUGCCAUGACUAGAGUUCGGUAGGGGAGUGUGGAAUUCCUGGUGGAGCGGUGAAAUGCGCAGAUAUCAGGAGGAACACCGGUGGCGGAGGCGGGUCUCUGGGCCGAUACUGACGCUCAUGCACGAAAGCGUGGGGAGCAAACAGG
RNAcentral lists this ribosomal RNA (254 nucleotides) under uncultured bacterium. RNAcentral describes it as "partial 16S ribosomal RNA". It matches the Rfam family "Bacterial small subunit ribosomal RNA", at positions 524 to 776 of the family's 1533-position model. The record is from RNAcentral.